RNAcentral lists this ribosomal RNA (501 nucleotides) under uncultured bacterium. RNAcentral's name for it is "partial 16S ribosomal RNA". It matches the Rfam family "Bacterial small subunit ribosomal RNA", at positions 29 to 523 of the family's 1533-position model. The record is from RNAcentral.
AUUGAACGCUGGCGGCAUGCCUUACACAUGCAAGUCGAACGGCAGCACGGGUGCUUGCACCUGGUGGCGAGUGGCGAACGGGUGAGUAAUACAUCGGAACGUACCUUAUCGUGGGGGAUAACGCAGCGAAAGCUGUGCUAAUACCGCAUACGCCCUGAGGGGGAAAGCGGGGGAUCGAAAGACCUCGCGCGAUUAGAGCGGCCGAUGCCUGAUUAGCUUGUUGGUGGGGUAAAAGCCCACCAAGGCGACGAUCAGUAGCUGGUCUGAGAGGACGGUCGGCAACACGGGGACUGAGACGCGGACCAGACUCCUACGGGAGGCAGCAGUGGGGGAUGUUGGACAAUGGGGGCAACCCUGAUCCAGCAAUGCCGCGUGAGUGAAGAAGGCCUUCGGGUUGUAAAGCUCUUUUGUCAGGGAAGAAACACCGGCUCUAACACAGUCCGGGAAUGACGGUACCUGAAGAAUAAGCACCGGCUAACUACGUGCCAGCAGCCGCAGUAA